AUGAAAAAAUUCAAAAAUAAAGCUAAAGAUAUGUUACCAAGAAAUGCCAGCCAUGUCGUGAACCUGCGACGGCUUCUUGUAUUAACCAACCGUAUUAAAAGGAAGCCGAUCCGCGAACGAUGGGAGCGAUGCAGAGUGAAGGCAUUGAGACCAAAUCGCGAAGAAGAUGAACGAAUUUGCAAUGAAGAAGAACGAUACGGAGCAGAUCUAUCACAAAUUAGAAUCGCGAUGGAGGCGUGA
This is a non-coding RNA of Vicia faba (fava bean), 240 nucleotides long. NCBI's taxonomy places the organism in Eukaryota, Viridiplantae, Streptophyta, Magnoliopsida, Fabales, Fabaceae. The record is from the annotation of a GenBank genome assembly.